AACGCACAUUGCGCCCUUUGGCAUUCCGAAGGGCAUGCCUGUUCGAGCGUCAUUAUCAACCUUCAAACCUCGGGUUUGGUGUUGAGCCCAGGUCCUCGCGCCGCGAGUGACCGGCUUCAAAGAUAAUGACGGCGUCCGUGGGACCCUCGGUGCAACGAGCUUUUUCCAAAGCACGCGUCGAAGCGGAUCCGCGGGGGCUGGUCUCCAAGAUGUGUGUACCCACACACUUCUCAUCUCAAGGUUGACCUCGGAUCAGGUAGGGAUACCCGCUGAACUUAA
This 279-nucleotide unclassified non-coding RNA is filed under the name uncultured fungus. RNAcentral's name for it is "partial contains 5.8S ribosomal RNA, internal transcribed spacer 2, and large subunit ribosomal RNA". Lineage: Eukaryota; Fungi. The record is from RNAcentral.